This 321-nucleotide ribosomal RNA is filed under the name uncultured soil bacterium. RNAcentral's name for it is "bacterial SSU rRNA". It matches the Rfam family "Bacterial small subunit ribosomal RNA", at positions 26 to 372 of the family's 1533-position model. The record is from RNAcentral.
AGAACGAACGCUGGCGGCAUGCCUAACACAUGCAAGUCGAACGAGACCUUCGGGUCUAGUGGCGCACGGGUGCGUAACGCGUGGGAAUCUACCCUUGGGUUCGGAAUAACAGUUGGAAACGACUGCUAAUACCGGAUGAUGACGUAAGUCCAAAGAUUUAUCGCCCAGGGAUGAGCCCGCGUAGGAUUAGCUAGUUGGUGAGGUAAAGCUCACCAAGGCGACGAUCCUUAGCUGGUCUGAGAGGAUGAUCAGCCACACUGGGACUGAGACACGGCCCAGACCUCCGUACGGGAGGCAGCGAGGUGGGGAAUUAGUUGGAAC